Molecule: ribosomal RNA, 253 nt
Filed under: uncultured bacterium
Lineage: Bacteria
Description: partial 16S ribosomal RNA
Rfam family: Bacterial small subunit ribosomal RNA
Source: RNAcentral
UACGAAGGGGGCUAGCGUUGUUCGGAAUCACUGGGCGUAAAGGGCGCGUAGGCGGCCGCUCAAGUCGGGGGUGAAAGCCUGUGGCUUAACCACAGAAUUGCCUUCGAUACUGCUUGGCUUGAGACCGGAAGAGGUGAGUGGAACUGCGAGUGUAGAGGUGAAAUUCGUAGAUAUUCGCAAGAACACCAGUGGCGAAGGCGGCUCACUGGUCCGGUUCUGACGCUGAGGAGCGAAAGUGUGGGGAGCGAACAGG